This 362-nucleotide ribosomal RNA is filed under the name uncultured Thelephoraceae. Its description in RNAcentral is "eukaryotic LSU rRNA". It matches the Rfam family "Eukaryotic large subunit ribosomal RNA", at positions 1 to 354 of the family's 3401-position model. The record is from RNAcentral. Lineage: Eukaryota; Fungi; Basidiomycota; Agaricomycetes; Thelephorales; Thelephoraceae.
UUGAUCUCAAAUCAGGUAGGACUACCCGCUGAACUUAAGCAUAUCAAUAAGCGGAGGAAAAGAAACUAACAAGGAUUCCCCUAGUAACUGCGAGUGAAGCGGGAAGAGCUCAAAUUUAAAAUCUGGCGUGCCUCCGGUCGUCCGAGUUGUAGUCUGGAGAAGCGUUUUCCGUGUUGGACCGUGUAUAAGUCUCUUGGAACAGGGCGUCAUAGAGGGUGAGAAUCCCGUCUUUGACACGGACUACCAAUGCUUUGUGAUGCGCUCUCAAAGAGUCGAGUUGUUUGGGAAUGCAGCUCAAAAUGGGUGGUAAAUUCCAUCUAAAGCUAAAUAUAGGCGAGAGACCGAUAGCGAACAAGUACCGU